RNAcentral lists this ribosomal RNA (404 nucleotides) under Petramithrax pygmaeus. RNAcentral's name for it is "partial 16S ribosomal RNA". It matches the Rfam family "Bacterial large subunit ribosomal RNA", at positions 1960 to 2570 of the family's 2925-position model. The record is from RNAcentral. Lineage: Eukaryota; Metazoa; Arthropoda; Malacostraca; Decapoda; Mithracidae.
CAUAAUCAUUAGCUUCUUAAUUGGGAGCUUGUAUGAAUGGUUGGACAAAAGAAAAUCUGUCUCUUUUUUAAGGUUUGAAUUUAACUUUUAAGUGAAAAGGCUUAAAUUUUUUAAGGGGACGAUAAGACCCUAUAAAGUUUUAUAAGUAAAUAUUAUAGUUUAGAUAAAAAUCAUAAGAGUAUUAAAUUAUUUAUUUAUUAUGUUGGGGCGACACAGAUAUAAUAAAGUAACUGUCAGAAAAAAAAACAUAAGUGUAUGAAACAGAUAUGAUCCUAAGUAAAGAUUAGAAGACAAAGUUACUUUAGGGAUAACAGCGUAAUUCUUUUUAAGAGCCCGUAUCGAAAAAAGAGUUUGCGACCUCGAUGUUGAAUCAUAAAAUCUAUAUAAUGCAGCAGUUAUAAAAA